GGGUAGCAUCUCAAAGGAAACGGGAACAACUCAGAAUCUUAUACAAAAAGAUCGUCAUCUGCUGAAAUUAAUGAUUUUGACUGAUGAAUGAGGGUUUUUAUUAAUGUGUUGAUGAUCAGUCUUUUUUGUUAGGGUUUUUUCCACUCAAUUUGGUAAUUUAAUGCAAGCUCUGGAGUGCGUCGCUGAUGUUAAAAAGGCAAUUGGAAAGGUUGGUUCCUGAUGUGGAACACUUUAAGGAGAAUGUGUAACUUUCAUCUUCAGCCGAUUGGAAGCACCCUUUCUAAGGUUUUCAAGAAAUUUUGGAGUGGAGAAAUAUGAUCCAACAAACGAGGAGUUCGAUCCAAACAGGCAUAAUGCAGUGUUUCAAGUGCCAGAUAAUACCAAGGCUCCCGAUACUGUUGCGGUUGUUCUUAAGGAAGGAUACACGCUCCAUGAUCGAAUAAUACGACCUGCUGAAGUUGGUGUGAUCAUAAAGGCAGAAUAAAGUAAUAGAUGUUGGAUCGAUAGUGUUGCCUCAUAGUGAUACUGUUCGAGGAUUUUUUUACAACGUUUUGUCGUGUUAGGACCAGGAUAAACUCCGAGGGAAAAAGUAUUUUAAGUUUUUUUAUUUGCUUCAUUUUUGUAUCAACUGUAAUAAAACAUGAUUACGUCAAGUCUCCCGAAA
Long non-coding RNA from Helianthus annuus (common sunflower), 664 nucleotides. RefSeq lists it as uncharacterized. Lineage: Eukaryota; Viridiplantae; Streptophyta; Magnoliopsida; Asterales; Asteraceae. The transcript has 4 exons. The record is from RefSeq and is a predicted model, not a curated record.